AAGAAACAGAAACCUUCUGAAACAUCUGGGCCUAGUCAUACCUCAGUUAGACUAGAUUAAGAGGAACACCCUAACCAGACUGCAUAUACCUGUGCUCAAGGUAAUUUGCAAAUAUUUGCAGGCAAGUUUUCACCAGGCUGAACUGCAGGCAGAGCUCCCACUGACUUCACAGAGCGCUCCCAGGGGACAGGCAGCAAGGUAAAAUAAAAAUU
RNAcentral lists this long non-coding RNA (212 nucleotides) under Bos indicus x Bos taurus (hybrid cattle). RNAcentral describes it as "lncRNA (ENSBIXG00005015239.1)". Lineage: Eukaryota; Metazoa; Chordata; Mammalia; Artiodactyla; Bovidae. The record is from RNAcentral.